Molecule: ribosomal RNA, 484 nt
Filed under: uncultured bacterium
Lineage: Bacteria
Description: partial 16S ribosomal RNA
Rfam family: Bacterial small subunit ribosomal RNA
Source: RNAcentral
AGUGAACGCUGGCGGCGUGCUUAACACAUGCAAGUCGAACGAGAACGGGUUAUAGCUUGCUAUAAUUGUCAGCUAAGUGGCGCACGGGUGAGUAAUGUAUAGGUAAUAUGCCUCUUACUAAGGGAUAACAAAUGGAAACGUUUGCUAAUACCUUAUACUCCUUAUUAACAGAAGUUAAUAAGGGAAAGAUUUAUUGGUAAGAGAUUAGCCUGUAUUGUAUCAGUUAGUUGGUGGGGUAAUGGCUUACCAAGACUAUGACACAUAACUGGUUUGAGAGGAUGGUCAGUCACACUGGAACUGAGACACGGUCCAGACUCCUACGGGAGGCAGCAGUGGGGAAUAUUGCACAAUGGACGAGAGUCUGAUGCAGCAACGCCGCGUGGAGGAUGACACAUUUCGGUGCGUAAACUCCUUUUAUAUGAGAAGAUAAUGACGGUGUUAUAUGAAUAAGCACCGGCUAACUCCGUGCCAGCAGCCGCGGUAA